CAGCAGCCACGGGAAUACAGAGGGUGCGAGCGUUAAUCGGAUUUACUGGGCGUAAAGCGUGCGUAGGCGGCUUUUUAAGUCGGAUGUGAAAUCCCUGAGCUUAACUUAGGAAUUGCAUUCGAUACUGGGAAGCUAGAGUAUGGGAGAGGAUGGUAGAAUUCCAGGUGUAGCGGUGAAAUGCGUAGAGAUCUGGAGGAAUACCGAUGGCGAAGGCAGCCAUCUGGCCUAAUACUGACGCUGAGGUACGAAAGCAUGGGGAGCAAACAGGAUUAGAUACCCCAGAGUCCCUGUCUCUUAUACA
This 301-nucleotide ribosomal RNA is filed under the name uncultured bacterium. Its description in RNAcentral is "partial 16S ribosomal RNA". It matches the Rfam family "Bacterial small subunit ribosomal RNA", at positions 509 to 808 of the family's 1533-position model. The record is from RNAcentral.